UCUUCACUGCCCCGAAUUCUUCGCCAGACGAUGGUCGCCGCCUUUUGAUCAAUGAGAGAGAAGAGGAGACGGGAUCGAGGGCGUCGCCGGGGCACCAAGUUGACUACACCAAGAUUUUGGGAAUCAGAUCUGCACCAUGCCGGUCAAAUAGACCGUCACCGCUCACAUCCCCGCCCUCCAACGCCAUGGGGUUUCCUCUGUGCCCCCAACAACACAGGCGAGCCCCCUGGCCUCUCUCUGUGUACUCCUUUCCAUGCCGCCUGUGCUCUAUGUAGGAGCAGGUAGGGCCAUGAGGAGCCCGUGCCUGGAUGGGUGGGGGCUUCUGUUACCCGAGGUCGUCGGCAGGCGGUGACUGAACCAUCGCCUCUCUCCUACCAUACGCUCUCUGCCCUUCUACAUGGGGGAUCUCUCUGAUUUUGUGCAGCACAUUGCAGGUGUUUGAAGGAGGAACAGGGCCGACAACCAGAACAUGAGCACUACCGGAACAACAAGUUCUUGGUCCCCAAAUCUCUUUUGCAAGUUGGGCAGCCACCAGAAGCGACCUGGGAGUUGGAACAGUGGUUGUUUCAAGCAAACACGUAAGCCUCACACAGGCAUGAAAAUGGCACGAGGUUCAUGAAACCAGGCUCAACACCAGCAUGAGGUUCAGGUCCAUCUGUCGAGUCUUCUACUGGUUCUUCAGGUUCCAUCUUGUUUGUGUUGCUGUAAAGAUUCAAGAUUUUCGAGAUUCGAAAAGAAAUUACUUCCUGCUGCAUACAAGUACAACACCAGCAGGUUCUACUUCCUUUGUUCCUACGUGGAGCAGAUUUUGUUGCAAAUAUGAACACAAACUGGACAGGUUCUACUUCCUUCAUUAGUUGCAAAUCUGAACAUAAACUGGACAGUUCAUCUGUUCUGUGGGUUACUUUUAGUUGCAUACGAUGUAAAUCUUUGCAAGAACACAUGUUUUACUUCCUACAUGGAGCAGAUUUUGUUGGAAAUCUGAACAUAAACUGGACAGGUUCUACUUCCUUCAUUA
RNA transcript from Lolium rigidum, 1018 nucleotides. RefSeq lists it as uncharacterized. The transcript is spliced from 4 exons. NCBI's taxonomy places the organism in Eukaryota, Viridiplantae, Streptophyta, Magnoliopsida, Poales, Poaceae. The record is from RefSeq and is a predicted model, not a curated record.